CGCAUCUUGCGCUCUCUGGUAUUCCGGAGAGCACACCUGUUCGAGUGUCUUGAUAUUAUCAUAUUCUUAAAUUUUCUCUGAAAGUUUGAGUUUAUGGAGUUGGACAUUGCUCUCUGUUCAGGAGUAGCUUGUCUUAAAUAUAUUAGCUCGUCCAUGUCUUGCAGACUUGGUUCUACUUGGCGCGAUUAAAUACUUGACCGCUGAGGACAGUUUUCAACUCUUUUGGGUUGUGGAAUUGGCCAGGACUGCCUUGGAUUGCUUACAAUCGUCUUCUUAGAGGACAUUCAGCAUCAUUUGACCUCGAAUCAGGUGGGAUUACCCGCUGAACUUAA
Molecule: unclassified non-coding RNA, 332 nt
Filed under: Cantharellales sp.
Lineage: Eukaryota; Fungi; Basidiomycota; Agaricomycetes; Cantharellales
Description: partial contains 5.8S ribosomal RNA, internal transcribed spacer 2, and large subunit ribosomal RNA
Source: RNAcentral